GGCCCCUUGGUCUAAUCGGUUAGGACACCAGCCUUUCAAGCUGGCAGCAGGGGUUCAAAUCCCCUAGGGGUCACCA
This 76-nucleotide transfer RNA is filed under the name Bacillota bacterium. RNAcentral's name for it is "Firmicutes bacterium (anaerobic digester metagenome) tRNA-Glu". It matches the Rfam family "tRNA". From Rfam's summary of the family: Transfer RNA (tRNA) molecules are approximately 80 nucleotides in length. Their secondary structure includes four short double-helical elements and three loops (D, anti-codon, and T loops). Lineage: Bacteria; Bacillati; Bacillota. RNAcentral also lists the same sequence under 1 other name. The record is from RNAcentral.